UUAUUAAUAGUUAAAUAAAUAACACUAAAAUGCAAUUUUAGAAUUGAAAUUAAUCUUGAUAAA
RNAcentral lists this transfer RNA (63 nucleotides) under Bemisia tabaci. Its description in RNAcentral is "tRNA-Cys". Lineage: Eukaryota; Metazoa; Arthropoda; Insecta; Hemiptera; Aleyrodidae. The record is from RNAcentral.